This 489-nucleotide ribosomal RNA is filed under the name uncultured bacterium. Its description in RNAcentral is "bacterial SSU rRNA". It matches the Rfam family "Bacterial small subunit ribosomal RNA", at positions 30 to 514 of the family's 1533-position model. The record is from RNAcentral.
AUUGAACGCUGGCGGCAUGCCUUACACAUGCAAGUCGAACGGCAGCACGGGGCAACCUGGUGGCGAGUGGCGAACGGGUGAGUGAUGCAUCGGAACGUACCUUUCAGUGGGGGAUAACGUAGCGAAAGUUACGCUAAUACCGCAUAUUCUGUGAGCAGGAAAGCAGGGGAUCGCAAGACCUUGCGCUGAUUGAGCGGCCGAUGUAAGAUUAGCUAGUUGGUGAGGUAAAGGCUCACCAAGGCGACGAUCUGUAGCGGGUCUGAGAGGAUGAUCCGCCACACUGGGACUGAGACACGGCCCAGACUCCUACGGGAGGCAGCAGUGGGGAAUUUUGGACAAUGGGGGCAACCCUGAUCCAGCCAUGCCGCGUGAGUGAAGAAGGCCUUCGGGUUGUAAAGCUCUUUCGGCCGGGAAAAAAUCACAUGGGUUAAUACCCUGUGUGGAUGAUGGUACCGGAAUAAGAAGCACCGGCUAACUACGUGCCAGCCG